Molecule: long non-coding RNA, 1686 nt
Organism: Mangifera indica (mango)
Lineage: Eukaryota; Viridiplantae; Streptophyta; Magnoliopsida; Sapindales; Anacardiaceae
Exons: 5
Source: RefSeq, a predicted model, not a curated record
CAAAGUUCAACGGCAAGACAAAUUCAAAUGUAACGUCCACUGAAGUUUUCACAACGAUCAAAUCCUUUUGAACUUCUCUCUUCUUCUUCUUCCUCUGAAAAUUCCACAAGCUUUCCCUAAUAAAUUCUCAGAAAAUUCAACAUGGAAACUGUAACCGUCUCACUAAACGCUCCUUCAAGACCUAAUAUCUCGAAUUCCAUCUCCAAGGUGAGGGUAGUAGUAGUGACCUCUCUCAGGAUAUUUCGGCAAAGAACGGAAACCCUAAGUCCUGUAUUUCGGUUGUCGAUAAGGAAUUUGAGUCCUGUAAUGAAGUCAGUGUUCAUCUCAAAGACCCUAAUACCAGUUGGUACGAGACCUAUCAGUUGGAUUCGUUCUUUGACCAAACAGAUGAGACAGUGAACAAGAAAUUUGGUGCACUAAGUACUAGUGUAAAGACUUCACUUAUACAAGAAUACAUUGAUUUCUUGAACACAGCGAGCAGAGAAGAGCUGCUUGAGUUGAAGGCAUGCCACCACUGAUCAAUAGUAAUGCCCCUGAUAAAUUCUUCUCAAAUAAUCCUAGAUGGUAUUUGUUAUCUCAACAACUUUCAUUGACUCUUCAGUGUCAUUCAGGGGAUUGGACCGAAAUUGGCAGAUUAUAUAUAUGAACCAGGAGAAACAAGUCCCUUGAAAUUGGCAGUUUAUAAUUCUGUUUCACUAUUGUUUGCAGCUGGGCGAUUUAGAGAAGAUAGGGCUUUCAUCCAAGCAGGCUUACAACUUAUUUAUCAAAACAGCAAAAGGAAUUUUUGAUGGCGCAGGUGCCAUAACUACUCUAUUCUAAACAGUUCACCAGGAAUUUUGGACACUGGAUUUGCUAAUAUAUUUAUUUAAUUGAAGGACCCAUCUAUGCUUUGAAAAGAAGAAAAGAUGGCGUCUCAUUUAUUGUCGUUACAAGUGCAAGGGUUGCAGUUGCAAUUGGGUCCGCACUUGCAGGCGUUCUCACAGCCACCGGCUCUCUCACCUUGCCUGCAUUAUUCACCCGACAACAAACAAAGCAUCAGUGAAAGACAAAAUAACAAAAGGGAAUCCUGGAAGAUCUGAAACUCACUGCUUUUUGGGUGAAACGGCAGGGACAGGAAUCUCGGCGGUCUUCGUGUCACUGAAAAGAAAAUCAUGUCAUUUUGAUAUAAUGUGUCAAGGAAAUGAAUUUGAGAAAUUUAAACAGAAAGGAGAAGAACUUACUCUCCACGGGCGGCACUGCCGUAUUUGGCAGCGGCCGGAGCAUUUACAUCACGGCAAGACAUUUUUAGGAAAAAUGAGGUGAACCCAGAUGGACGUGUUGAUGUUGAAGACUGAAUUUAUAGGGCGGGGAAAAUUUCUUCAUUGAUGAACCGUCCACUUUUCAUGAGAAGUCAGUUUAGCCCCAACUUCUUGAAUCCGAAAAUUUCUUCAUUGAUGAACCGAGUCUUAUGUGAAUGGGAUAAGAUAAUAUAUUCCACAUUUUAAGAGAAUGGCAGUACUUGUAACCGAUCAAACGCUUCUAGUUUGGAAUUUGGAUUACAGGUCCCUUGCAUUACUAAGCAUUUUGCCUUCUCAGAGACUCAUUCAUGAGGCCAAAAAACCAAUUAGGCCCAUUUGCCCGAAAAAGCAAUCAAGUUUUUCAGUAACUGAUUGAUCCAAUAAUUUUAAUAAAAAAUAUUUUUUAUAA